UGAACGCUAGCGGGAGGCUUAACACAUGCAAGUCGAGGGGCAGCACGAGUCCGCCGCAAGGUGGAUUUGGUGGCGACCGGCGUACGGGUGAGUAACGCGUAUGCAACCUACCCUGUACAGGGGGAUAGCCCGGAGAAAUUCGGAUUAAUACCCCAUAAAUAUAUUUGAAGGCAUCUUCAGAUAUUUAAAGUUUCGACGGUACGGGAUGGGCAUGCGUAACAUUAGCUAGUUGGUAAGGUAACGGCUUACCAAGGCGACGAUGUUUAGGGGUCCUGAGAGGGUGAUCCCCCACACUGGUACUGAGACACGGACCAGACUCCUACGGGAGGCAGCAGUGAGGAAUAUUGGUCAAUGGGCGCAAGCCUGAACCAGCCAUCCCGCGUGCAGGAAGACGGCGCUAUGCGUUGUAAACUGCUUUUCCAGGGAAAGAAAACCCCCGACGUGUCGGGGCUUGCCGGUACCCUGGGAAUAAGCAUCGGCUAACUCC
RNAcentral lists this ribosomal RNA (487 nucleotides) under uncultured bacterium. RNAcentral describes it as "bacterial SSU rRNA". It matches the Rfam family "Bacterial small subunit ribosomal RNA", at positions 30 to 504 of the family's 1533-position model. The record is from RNAcentral.